RNAcentral lists this ribosomal RNA (1472 nucleotides) under uncultured Bordetella sp. RNAcentral describes it as "partial 16S-23S ribosomal RNA intergenic spacer". It matches the Rfam family "Bacterial small subunit ribosomal RNA". The record is from RNAcentral. Lineage: Bacteria; Pseudomonadati; Pseudomonadota; Betaproteobacteria; Burkholderiales; Alcaligenaceae.
AGUUCGAUCAUGGCUCAGAUUGAACGCUGGCGGGAUCUUUUACACAUGCAAGUCGAACGGCAGCACGGACUUCGGUCUGGUGGCGAGUGGCGAACGAGGUGAGUAAUGUAUCGGAGACGUGCCUAAUGUGAGGAUAACUACGCGAAAGCGCUAAUACCGCAUACGCCCUUCGAGGAAAGCAGGGGACCUUUAGCUGGGCCUCGCACUAUUAGAGCGGCCGAUAUCGGAUUAGCUAGUUGGUGGGGUAACGGCUCACCAAGCCGAUCCGUAGCUGGUUUGAGAGGACGACCAGCCACACUGGGACUGAGACACGGCCCAGACUCUGAGGAGGCAGCAGUGGGAAUUUUGGACAAUGGGGGAAACCUGAUCCAGCCAUCCCGCGUGUGCGAUGAAGGCCUUCGGGUUGUAAACGCUGGCAGGAAAGAAACGGCGGGAUAAUACCCCGUGCAACUGACAGUACCUGCAGAAUAAGCACCGGCUAACUACGUGCCAGCAGCCGCGGUAAUACGUAGGGUGCAAGCGUUAAUCGGAAUUACUGGGCGUAAAGCGUGCGCGAGCGGUUCGGAAGAAAGAUGUGAAAUCCCAGAGCUUAACUUUGGAACUGCAUUUUUAACUACCGAGCUAGAGAGUGUGUCAGAGGAGAGUGGAAUUCCGCGUGUAGCAGUGAAAUGCGUAGAUAUGGAGGAACACCGAUGGCGAAGGCAGCCUCCUGGGAUAACACUGACGCUCAUGCACGAAAGCGUGGGAGCAAACAGGAUUAGAUACCCUGGUAGUCCCGCGCCCUAACGAUGUCAACUAGCUGUUGGGGCCUUCGGGCCUUGGUAGCGCAGCUAACGCGUGAAGUUGACCGCCUGGGGAGAUUUACGGUCGCAAGAUUAAAACUCAAAGGAAUUGACGGGGACCCGCACAAGCGGUGGAUGAUGUGGAUUAAUUCGAUGCAACGCGAAAAACCUACCUUGGCAUGUCUGGAAUCCGAAGAGAUUUGGGAGUGCUCGCAAGAGAACCGGAACACAGGUGCUGCAUGGCUGUCGUCAGCUCGUGUCGUGAGAUGUUGGGUUAAGUCCCGCAACGAGCGCAACCCUUGUCAUUAGUUGCUACGAAAGGGCACUCUAAUGAAGCUGCCGGUGACAAACCGGAGGAAGGUGAGGAUGACGUCAAGUCCUCAUGGCCCUUAUGGGUAGGGGCUUCACACGUCAUACAAUGGUCGGGACAGAGGGUGCCCAGCCCGCGAGGGGAGCCAAUCCCAGAAACCCGAUCGUAGUCCGGAUCGCAGUCUGCAACUCGACUGCGUGAAGUCGGAAUCACGCUAGUAAUCGCGGAUCAGCAUGUCGCGGUGAAUACGUUCCCGGGUCUUGUACACACCGCCCGUCACACCAUGGGAGUGGGUUUUACCAGAAGUAGUUAGCCCUAAUACAUAAGGAGGGCGUUACCACAGUAGGAUUCAUGACUGGGGUGAAGUCGUAACAAGGUAA